Molecule: ribosomal RNA, 253 nt
Filed under: uncultured bacterium
Lineage: Bacteria
Description: partial 16S ribosomal RNA
Rfam family: Bacterial small subunit ribosomal RNA
Source: RNAcentral
UACGUAGGUGGCAAGCGUUGUCCGGAUUUAUUGGGUUUAAAGGGUGCGUAGGCGGCUUUGUAAGUCAGUGGUGAAAUAUGGCAGCUCAACUGUCAAGGUGCCAUCGAUACUGCAGAGCUUGAGUACAGAUGAGGUAGGCGGAAUUGACGGUGUAGCGGUGAAAUGCUUAGAUAUCGUCAAGAACACCUAUAGCGAAGGCAGCUUACUAGGCUGUAACUGACGCUGAGGCACGAAAGUGUGGGGAUCAAACAGG